This 253-nucleotide ribosomal RNA is filed under the name uncultured bacterium. Its description in RNAcentral is "partial 16S ribosomal RNA". It matches the Rfam family "Bacterial small subunit ribosomal RNA", at positions 524 to 776 of the family's 1533-position model. The record is from RNAcentral.
UACGUAGGGUGCAAGCGUUGUCCGGAAUUAUUGGGCGUAAAGAGUUCGUAGGCGGUUUGUCGCGUCCGUUGUGAAAGCUUGGGGCUCAACCCCAAGUCUGCAGUGGAUACGGGCAGACUAGAGUCAGGUAGGGGGGAACGGAAUUCCUGGUGUAGCGGUGAAAUGCGCAGAUAUCAGGAGGAACACUGGUGGCGAAGGCGGUUCUCUGGGCCUGUACUGACGCUGAGGAACGAAAGCGUGGGGAGCGAACAGG